This 487-nucleotide long non-coding RNA is filed under the name Pan troglodytes (chimpanzee). RNAcentral describes it as "lincRNA". The record is from RNAcentral. Lineage: Eukaryota; Metazoa; Chordata; Mammalia; Primates; Hominidae.
GUGAUUUUUAUCUGCAUUGGAUCUACUUUAUUAAACCCCACAGCCUGAAUAGCAGCUACUAGGGUAGUGCCAGUGGAUGUAUAUGGAGACUGGGCUGGAAUGGCUGAGUGUGUGGGUGCACAGCUGGGAGCAGCCAUGGCAGUAAGUAGACAGCCAGUAACUUCUGAUAAAAGGGAGUAUCUGAAAACUGAAAGGCCCCAUAGGAAUGCCAACAACAUUUCAGAAGUUUUCAACCCAAAUUAAAGAUGAAAAAAGUGAAGUAGAUGAUGCAAUAAAGAGUUGGCAAAUUCCCAGCUGGGCGCGGUGGCUCACGCCUGUAAUCCCAGCACUUUGGAAGGCCAAGGCGGGCGGAUCACGAGCAUGGUCUAUAGAAGAAGAAAGAAUUCAUCAGUAUUUCUAGGAAUAUCCCCAAUCAUAAUCCUAAGACUCCAGCUCAAAACAAUUACUGGCAACUCUUCAAUAAUUAAUUAAAGGAAGGCAUACCCUC